CAGCCGCCGCGGUAAUACCGGCGGCCCGAGUGGCGGUCACUAUUAUUUGGCUUAAAGCGUCCGUAGCCGGGUUGGGAAGUCCUCCGGGAAAUCUGGCCGCUUAACGGUCAGAAUGCCGGAGGAUACUCCCAGCCUAGGGAGCGGGGGAGGCCGAGGGGAUUCCCGGAGUAGGGGUGAAAUCCUAUAAUCCCGGGAGGACCACCUGUGGCGAAGGCGCUCGGCUGGAACGCGUCCGACGGUGAGGGACGAAGGCCAGGGGAGCAAACCGGAUUAGAUACCCGGGUAGUCCUGGCGGUAAACGAUGCGGACUUUGUGUCGGACAAGCUAUGAGCUUGUCCGGUGCCGGAGGGAAACCGUUAAGUCCGCCGCCUGGGGAGUACGGCCGCAAGGCUGAAACUUAAAGGAAUUGGCGGG
Molecule: ribosomal RNA, 414 nt
Filed under: uncultured microorganism
Description: bacterial SSU rRNA
Rfam family: Archaeal small subunit ribosomal RNA
Source: RNAcentral